This 253-nucleotide ribosomal RNA is filed under the name uncultured bacterium. RNAcentral describes it as "partial 16S ribosomal RNA". It matches the Rfam family "Bacterial small subunit ribosomal RNA", at positions 524 to 776 of the family's 1533-position model. The record is from RNAcentral.
UACGGGGGGGGCAAGCGUUGUUCGGAAUUACUGGGCGUAAAGGGCUCGUAGGCGGCCAACUAAGUCGGACGUGAAAUCCCCAGGCUCAACCUGGGAACUGCGUCUGAUACUGGAUGGCUUGAAUCCGGGAGAGGGAUGCAGAAUUCCAGGUGUAGCGGUGAAAUGCGUAGAUAUCAGGAGGAACACCGGUGGCGAAGGCGGGUCUCUGGGCCGAUACUGACGCUGAGGAGCGAAAGCGUGGGGAGCAAACAGG